This 254-nucleotide ribosomal RNA is filed under the name uncultured bacterium. RNAcentral's name for it is "partial 16S ribosomal RNA". It matches the Rfam family "Bacterial small subunit ribosomal RNA", at positions 524 to 776 of the family's 1533-position model. The record is from RNAcentral.
UACGUAGGGGGCUAGCGUUGUCCGGAUUUAUUGGGCGUAAAGAGCUCGUAGGCGGUUUGUCGCGUCUGCUGUGAAAACCUAAGGCUCAACCUUGGGCUUGCAGUGGGUACGGGCAGACUAGAGUCCGGAAGAGGCGAGUGGAAUUCCUGGUGUAGCGGUGGAAUGCGCAGAUAUCAGGAGGAACACCAAUAGCGAAGGCAGCUCGCUGGGACGGUACUGACGGCUAAGGCGCGAAAGCGUGGGGAGCGAACAGG